UAGGGAAUAUUGGUCAAUGGAUGCAAGUCUGAACCAGCCAUGCCGCGUGCAGGAAGAAGGCCUUCUGGGUUGUAAACUGCUUUUGUCAGGGGAUAAAAUGGGAGUGCGCUCCUAAUUGAAGGUACCUGGCGAAUAAGCCACGGCUAACUACGUGCCAGCAGCCGCGGUAAUACGUAGGUGGCAAGCGUUGUCCGGAUUUAUUGGGUUUAAAGGGUGCGUAGGCGGUCCUAUAAGUCAGUGCUGAAAUAUCCCGGCUUAACCGGGAGGGUGGCAUUGAUACUGCAGGACUUGAGUGAAGUCGAAGUAGGCGGAAUUGACGGUGUAGCGGCGAAAUGCUUAGAUAUCGUCAAGAACACCGAUAGUGAAGACAGCUUACUAGACUUCAACUGACGCUGAGGCACGAAAGUGUGGGGAUCAAA
RNAcentral lists this ribosomal RNA (419 nucleotides) under uncultured bacterium. RNAcentral describes it as "bacterial SSU rRNA". It matches the Rfam family "Bacterial small subunit ribosomal RNA", at positions 355 to 772 of the family's 1533-position model. The record is from RNAcentral.